Molecule: non-coding RNA, 767 nt
Organism: Nelumbo nucifera (sacred lotus)
Lineage: Eukaryota; Viridiplantae; Streptophyta; Magnoliopsida; Proteales; Nelumbonaceae
Source: RefSeq, a predicted model, not a curated record
CGGGCAGGAUACACAACCUCUCGCGGAAAAACUGUAAGGAAGCCGAUCAACUCUUCGGUUUUCUGAUCUCUCGAGGCGUUGCUAKUUUCGGCGAUCGGCUCACUGACUCCUGUGCCUUACCGUUGUUCCCGGUUUUCGAUAUCAAUGYAAGAGCUUGCAUUCGUGGAGCCGAUUCACGCGUUCGAAUUGUAGCAGUGAACAACCAUGGCCUUGCAUACGCUGGAGUCCAGAAUGAGCCACUCUAACCCAUCUCUUCUGUAUACACUCUUAAACCUUCCCUUCUCCACCUAUUUCUAAUUAGGCAAUCUUGGCAGGUGAAUGGCGUGGGCGUGGAAAGAAGGCUCGGAAGUGAUACGGAUUCGAAAGCGGCACGGGCACUAAGAAUGCUCGAAUUGCGGGAAAGAUGCACAACCUCUCGCGGCAAUACUAUAAAGAAGCCGAUCAACUCUUCGGUGUAAGCUUCUCAAUUCUCAACUUCAUUCGGUGUUCUCGUUUGGGKGUAUGGGUUACUAUUUUGCUUUGGUAAUAUGCGUAGUUUUAGAUUGCUCGAGGCUUUGCUACUUUUGGCGAUCGGCUUGCCGGCUCCGCGCCUUACCAUUGUUCCCGGUUUUCGAUAUCAAUGAAAGUAUAGGAAACAUCCCGUGCUUAAUUCAGUUCCGUUUUAUUUUAAUUCCGUAGGAUAAAUGACCGGAUGUUGUCGUGGGUGUGUGUGUUACUAAUUGCUCAAUGGCCGUUGUURUGCUUGUAACUUCUAUUCGUUUAUUAAU